CCCGAGCUUGGUGAACCAAACUUCGGUAAACCUUUGGUUACCGUUAUUUCGUACUAAUUAGGCAAUCCAUGAUAUGCCAAACUUAGGCAAUGCCAAACUAUUACGAGAUUACAUCGAAUGUGGAAUUCUUUUGGCAUACCAAUAUUCGGCUUGCCUAAUUUAAAACAAAUAAGAUCCGAAUUGGGCUAGCCUAACGGGAAAAAAUUUCUGAGAAAAA
Cotesia glomerata is the source of this 217-nucleotide long non-coding RNA. RefSeq lists it as uncharacterized. The record is from RefSeq and is a predicted model, not a curated record. The transcript has 4 exons. NCBI's taxonomy places the organism in Eukaryota, Metazoa, Arthropoda, Insecta, Hymenoptera, Braconidae.